UAAGGAAUAUUGGUCAAUGGACGCAAGUCCGAACCAGCCAUGCCGCGUGAAGGAUGAAGGUCCUCUGGAUUGUAAACUUCUUUUAUCUGGGACGAAAACGGGAUUUUUAUCUCAAUUGACGGUACCAGAGGAAUAAGCACCGGCUAACUCCGUGCCAGCAGCCGCGGUAAUACGGAGGGUGCGAGCGUUAUCCGGAUUUACUGGGUUUAAAGGGUGCGUAGGUGGCUUAUCAGUCAGUGGUGAAAUCUCCGAGCUUAACUUGGAAACUGCCGUUGAUACUAUAGGUCAUGAAUUAUCUGGAGGUAAGCGGAAUAUGUCAUGUAGCGGUGAAAUGCUUAGAUAUGACAUAGAACACCAAUUGCGAAGGCAGCUUACUACAUAUAAAUUGACGCUGAGGCACGAAAGCGUGGGGAUCAAACA
Molecule: ribosomal RNA, 420 nt
Filed under: uncultured bacterium
Lineage: Bacteria
Description: bacterial SSU rRNA
Rfam family: Bacterial small subunit ribosomal RNA
Source: RNAcentral